RNAcentral lists this long non-coding RNA (1754 nucleotides) under Homo sapiens (human). Its description in RNAcentral is "PDE9A antisense RNA 1 (PDE9A-AS1)". Lineage: Eukaryota; Metazoa; Chordata; Mammalia; Primates; Hominidae. The record is from RNAcentral.
GUACAGUGGCCCAGGGCAGACUAGCUGGAAUCAGCCUCCCGGGUGGGUUUCGAGGCGUUUCCAGGGUCAGGGGUCAAGUAGGGGCAUGUUCCCGGGACACUGCUUCUUUCUGCCAGAAGGACGAAGAAUCUGGAGAGUGCAAUAUUUGGAUCUGGUCCUGCUGAUGUGUUUCUGUGCUACAGAAACCUUCUCCACCCCUCUUCUACCCAACAGCUAGAGGACAUGGGGUCCGGAAGUGCAUGUGGCUGGAGCCAGUGUGGUCGCUGUCGUGAUGGCCGAGUCCAGAUGAGCUGCCGCUGGGGAAACACAGGGUACCUGAGGUCUGAGGUCGGGACGUCUUUGUCCAACCACUAAGAGUCCACAUUCUCCUUUGGAGCCGGGUCUCCGUUUUCUCCAGCAUCAUGGGCCCCUCAAGGAAGCUGAUGCAUGCCACAGGCUGUCUUCUCAGAAAAGGUACCCAAGAACACAUUUUGGGUUUGCAUGUGGAUUGGGAAGCCCAACGUGGCCUCCAGCGGUGCUCCUUGGCUUUGUCUAGACUGCAGGAUCCCACCCAUGCCCUGUGGAUUUGCCACGUGGACACUGACGUGAGCAAAUGGACAAUUCAACAUCAGUGGCAGAAAGGAGCUCAGUCUGGUUCACACGUGGAAGGCAGCACAUUCUGAAAGAGAAUCACUUGAACCCAGGAGGCGAAGGUUGCAUUGAGCCAAGAUUGUGCUAUUGCACUCCAGCCUGGACAACAGAGCAAGACUCUGUCUCUCAAAAAAAGAAAAAGAAAAGCGACGACAUUCAGUCAAUCAGCCAGAUAUUUUUGGUGAUGCUGCAACUCUUAAUGGUAUCCUGUCUGGAUUCUGUUUAUUUAGUUCCUAAGUUGGUAAAUACAGUGCCUGUUAAUCAUUAACCUUUGCCUUGUCAUUGACAAAGAGUUCACUUGUCAAGCUGUGAGUGGAACACAGAAUUGUGAGGCCUAUGGAAUUCAAGCAUUGAUCUUGAUAUUAUGGAUGAGGACAAAAAGGGUGGGUGACUUGAAGCUGUUUUCUUCCCAGAAUUUGAGCUUUGUGAUCAUUGAAUCAGGACUUGAAUCGACACUCCUUGGCUCCCUAGUCCUUUUUCUGCUUUUCCUUUGGUGGUGAUUGGAGGCUGUAGUAGGCUGUUCUUCUGUUGCUAUAAAGAGAUACCUGAGGCUGGGCAAUUUAUAAGCAAAAGAGGUUUGAUUGGCUCCCAGUUCUGUGGGCUUUACAGGAAGCCUGGUGCCGGCAUCUGCUUGGCUCUUGGGGAGGCCUCGAGAAGCCUCCAAUCAUGGUGGAAGGCAACGGAGAAGCAGGAGGGUAGAGAGAUGCCACGUGCUUUUAAACAACCAGAUCUUGCGAGAACUCACUAUCUCAAGGAGAGCACCAAGCCAUUUAGGAGGCAUCUGCCUGGUGACCCAAACACCUCCCACCAGCCCCACCUCCAACAUUGCGAAUGACAUUUCAACGUGAGAUGUGGAGGGGACAUCCAGACUGUAUCAGAAACCAAGAGAUAACAACUUAGUAGACAUAUUCCAAAAAAUUAUGACCCACAGGGUGCCGAUCAGUGUGCAGAGAAUGUCUUCAUUUACACACAAAAAGACACAGACAAGACACUCAGCAGAGGUUCUCAGAGGGGCUAAGUGCGGAAGGCUUCGUGUGUUCAUUUUUAUUCUUUGGGGCUGAAAGAAUGCUUUAUACCAUGAGCUGUGCUUCUUUUAAAAUAGAAAUAAAAUGCUUAGUUAGUCA